ACACUCUGCUAUUGAAGAUAGAGAUGCAGUCACGGAAAUCUAAACUCUAUAAUACGCUAGUACCCUACUCUGUUGGGUGACAGAAGGGCAAAGAUAUAGUCUGUGCCAUUAGUAAUAAUGGA
RNAcentral lists this non-coding RNA (122 nucleotides) under Parcubacteria group bacterium GW2011_GWA2_40_14. The record is from RNAcentral.